UACGUAGGGGCCAAGCGUUGUCCGGAAUCACUGGGCGUAAAGCGUAUGUAGGUUGCUUGAUAAGUCAGAUGUUAAAUUCCCGAGCUCAACUCGGGACCGCAUUUGAUACUGUCAAACUUGAGAAUGGUAGAGGAAAGCGGAACUUCCGGUGUAGCGGUGAAAUGCGUAGAUAUCGGAAGGAACACCAGUGGCGAAGGCGGCUUUCUGGGCCAUUUCUGACACUGAGAUACGAAAGCCAGGGGAGC
RNAcentral lists this ribosomal RNA (245 nucleotides) under uncultured bacterium. RNAcentral describes it as "partial 16S ribosomal RNA". It matches the Rfam family "Bacterial small subunit ribosomal RNA", at positions 524 to 769 of the family's 1533-position model. The record is from RNAcentral.